GGGGGACCACCCUCCAAGCCUAAAUACUCGUACAUGACCGAUAGCGAACACAGUACCGUGAGGGAAAGGUGAAAAGAACCGCGGAUAGCGGAGUGAAAAGAACCUGAAACCGUGUGCUUACAAGCAGUUAGAGGGCUAUAAAUGGCCUGAUAGCGUGCCUUUUGCAUAAUGAGCCUACGAGUUACUCCUCACUGGCAAGGUUAAGUGCAUUGAUGCACGCAGGCGCAGCGAAAGCGAGUCUGAAUAGGGCGUGUAGUCAGUGGGGGUAGACGCGAAACCUAGUGAGCUACCCUUGAGCAGGAUGAAGGAGCGGUAACACGCUGUGGAGGUCCGAACCAGUUUCCGUUGAAAAGGAUUUGGAUGACUUGAGGGUAGGGGUGAAAGGCCAAUCAAACUCCGUGAUAGCUGGUUCUCUCCGAAAUGCAUUUAGGUGCAGCGUUGCGUGUUUCUUGCCGGAGGUAGAGCUACUGGAUGGCCGAUGGGGCCCAAAAGCUUACUGACGUCAGCCAAACUCCGAAUGCCGGUAAGUGAGAGCGCAGCAGUGAGACUGUGGGGGAUAAGCUUCAUAGUCGAGAGGGAAACAACCCAGACCACCAACUAAGGUCCCUAAGCGCGUGCUAAGUGGGAAAGGAUGUGGAGUUGCACAGACAACCAGGAGGUUGGCUUAGAAGCAGCCAUCCUUUAAAGAAAGCGUAACAGCUCACUGGUCUAAUUAAGAGGUUCUGCGGCGAAGAUGUAACGGGGCUCAAGACACGCACCGAAGCUUAGGGUGUGGAUUUAUCCACGCGGUAGCGGAGCGUUCCGUAAGCCGUUGAAGCGAUCUGGUAAUGGGUCGUGGAGGUAUCGGAAGUGCGAAUGCAGACAUGAGUAGCGAUAAACAGGGUGAGAUGCCCUGUCGCCGAAAGACCAAGGGUUCCUGCGCA
This 923-nucleotide ribosomal RNA is filed under the name Rhodella violacea. RNAcentral's name for it is "partial Bacterial large subunit ribosomal RNA". It matches the Rfam family "Bacterial large subunit ribosomal RNA", at positions 447 to 1361 of the family's 2925-position model. The record is from RNAcentral. Lineage: Eukaryota; Rhodophyta; Rhodellophyceae; Rhodellales; Rhodellaceae.